GCCAUUCCGCUUCACCAUCUGCCUCGCCUCUUUGCCGUCCUCACUCCGUCCUCUUCUAUGUUUUCUGGAUUUGCCGCCGCCGCCUUCUCCGCUCCCAAGAUAGCCUCGCUCUCCUCCUUGGUGCCAGUGGGAGAGGUAGCGGACGAAAAUCGAUGACGCCGACCCGCUCCUCCACGGCAGCGCCUUCGUCCCCGACGACACCCAGCAGCAGCUCACUCCCGGCCCAAAACGAGGCAGCGUUCCCAAAUGUGAAGCAACAACCCGCAGAAAGAUGAGCAGGAGCAGAUCAGGGAUGAAGCCACGAUCUACGAUGGUGAUUCUUCCAAUAAAAUGAUGCAGGUGGCCAACAGCUUGAUGGUGCCAUCUAUAUUGAAAAUGAUCACAUUUAUGAAGUUAUGCUCUGCUUUGGCGCAUGUUUAUAUCCUAAUCCAAGUACUAAUGUCGGUGUGAGCUCAAGGCAAAAAGGCAGAACCCAUUUGUAGUUUCAGCUUUACGAGGAGUUGUCGGCAAUGAUUGAUGAGAUAAUUGGUUGAGCUACUUUCGGAAGGGGCGACGGAAAUCAUAAAAACUACCAUGGCUAUGGAGAUUCAACAUAUAGAAAGAUGGAAGAGGUCGACUUGCAAUGUUAAAGCAGAUAACCUUGUUAAAAGAUGAGCAUUUAGAGAAGUGUGUGCUCGCCAAGGACCCAAUGGGUUUUUGAAGAGUUAGCUGCACAUCGUUGGUGUCCGAUGCACUAACAGAAAUUAGAGUAUAUGAACCAGCAAAUAUAAUGUUGGUCCGUAAAGCCUUACUUCUUCAUUCGUUCACUGUUGCUUCAUCAUUGAUUCUUCUUUUGGACAAACAAGUUCUCCCUCCUUUCAGUAAUUCUGUAUCAACAUGGCGCGUGUUUGUAUGAUGCAUGGUUACAUAGGUUACUGUAUUGCUGAAGUAGUACAUGAUCUGGCCUUCUACUAGUUGUUGUCUUAAAUAGCUAAUUGUUUUUUUUUGGUUUUUCUAUAUGCUAUAUUCAAGUUGUUGGACAAGUUCUCAUUGGUUGCUUCCUGUUCAUUACAUUAAAUCCUUGAAGCAUGAUAUUGUAAUUGAUGUAGUUCUUCCUUGAACCAGCUAUGUGUAUAUGUGUAUCAACAUGUAGUGCAUAUGUGUAUCUUCUGAUUGUAGAAAUAGGAAAUGGAAGCCUAUUAUGAGCC
Long non-coding RNA from Triticum dicoccoides, 1187 nucleotides. RefSeq lists it as uncharacterized. The record is from RefSeq and is a predicted model, not a curated record. NCBI's taxonomy places the organism in Eukaryota, Viridiplantae, Streptophyta, Magnoliopsida, Poales, Poaceae. The transcript is spliced from 7 exons.